CAUAUCCAAAAAUAACGGCUGCAUUAACCGUAGGACUUAGAAUUCUUCUAACAUCACCACCACCUGGAGCCCAAGUGUCAUAAACUCCGAUAUAUAAGGCUUUUAAUACAAGUAAAAAAGCACCUAUACCUAAAAGAAUUAAAUGAAUACCUAAGAUAGUUGUCAUUUUGUUCUUAUCACGCCA
This 184-nucleotide antisense RNA is filed under the name Microchloropsis gaditana. RNAcentral describes it as "Nannochloropsis gaditana Antisense RNA which regulates isiA expression". It matches the Rfam family "Antisense RNA which regulates isiA expression". Lineage: Eukaryota; Eustigmatophyceae; Eustigmatales; Monodopsidaceae. The record is from Rfam by way of RNAcentral.